CCUACGGGUGGCAGCAGUGGGGGAUAUUGCACAAUGGGGGAAACCCUGAUGCAGCGACGCCGCGUGGGUGAAGAAGCGCCUCGGCGCGUAAAGCCCUGUCAGCAGGGAAGAAAAUGACGGUACCUGAAGAAGAAGCCCCGGCUAACUACGGGCCAGCAGCCGCGGGAAUACGUAGGGGGCAAGCAUUAUCCGGAUUUACUGGGUGUAAAGGGGGCGCAGGCGGCGAUGCAAGCCAGGAGUGAAAGCCACGGGCCCAACCCCGGGACUGCUCUUGGAACUGCGUGGCUAGAGUGCAGGAGGGGCAGGCGGAAUUCCUGGUGUAGCGGUGAAAUGCGUAGAUAUCAGGAGGAACACCGGUGGCGAAGGCGGCCUGCUGGACUGCAACUGACGUUGAGGCCCGAAAGCGUGGGGAGCAAACAGGAUUAGAUACCCGAGUAGUC
RNAcentral lists this ribosomal RNA (440 nucleotides) under uncultured bacterium. RNAcentral's name for it is "partial 16S ribosomal RNA". It matches the Rfam family "Bacterial small subunit ribosomal RNA", at positions 338 to 795 of the family's 1533-position model. The record is from RNAcentral.